This 906-nucleotide ribosomal RNA is filed under the name uncultured archaeon. Its description in RNAcentral is "bacterial SSU rRNA". It matches the Rfam family "Archaeal small subunit ribosomal RNA", at positions 21 to 903 of the family's 1478-position model. The record is from RNAcentral.
CCCCACUGCUAUCGGGAUGGGACUAAGACAUGCUAGUCGAGCGUCUCCAAGCUAUGGAAGAGACGCGGCACACAGCUCAGUAACACGUGGCUAACCUGCCCUUGGGACAAGGACAACUCCGGGAAACUGGGGCUAAUCCCUGAUAAGUGAGAACUCCUGGAAUGGAUUCUCGCUCAAAGGACGUUUAGACCAUGCUUCUAGGCGUCGCCCAAGGAGGGGGCCGCGACCGAUCAGGUUGUUGGUGAGGUAACGGCUCACCAAGCCUUUAACCGGUACGGGCCGUGAGAGCGGAAGCCCGGAGAUGAGCACUGAGACAAGGGCCCAGGCCCUACGGGGCGCAGCAGUCGCGAAAACUCCGCAAUACACGAAAGCGUGACGGGGCUAUCCCGAGUGCCGUCCGCUGAGGAUGGCUUUUCCCUAGUGUAUAAAGCUGGGGGAAUAAGGAGAGGGCAAGCCUGGUGUCAGCCGCCGCGGUAAUACCAGCUCUCCGAGUGGUGGGGAUGCUUAUUGGGCCUAAAGCAUUCGUAGCCGGUUGGGCAAGUCCUCCGUUAAAUCCAGCGAUUCAAUCGUUGGACUGCGGGGGAUACUGCCCGGCUUGGGGGCGGAAGAGGCCGACGGUAUUCUCGGGGUAGGGGUGAAAUCCUAUAAUCCCGGGAGGACCACCAGUGGCGAAGGCUGUCGGCUAGAACGCGCCCGACGGUGAGGGAUGAAAGCUGGGGGAGCGAACCGGAUUAGAUACCCGGGUAGUCCCAGCUGUAAACGAUGCAGGCUAGGUGUUGGCGCGGCUACGUGCCGCUCCAGUGCCGCAAGGAAGCCGUUAAGCCUGCCGCCUGGGAAGUACGGCCGCAAGGCUGAAACUUAAAGGAAUUGGCGGGGGAGCACCACAAGGUGUGAAGCUUGCGGUUU